GAGAUAAUGUUAUCAUUUGAUUAUGAUGGAACAUAUUUAAUGAAUUGGCAAUAAUAGAUUAGGAGGGUUAGUGGUAUCCAAGAUGCUCUUCAAAACGGUCUUCUUAAUCGUGGGCCUUAGGCAGAUUCUGGCGCUGCCCACGGAACCAGAGUACACCAAGGUGGACCUUAUUGAAAAUGUCAUCAAGGGUGAUGCUGACUCCGAGCUUGACACUGAUAUGGCAAUGACUCGCAUCGUGUCAGGCUGGCAAGCGUACCCCGGGCAACAUCCUCACCAGAUCUACCUCCGCAUGGUCAAUGCGACUGGCACCAUGAGCGCCUGUGGUGGCUCUGUAGUCCACAAGAACUGGUUUAUCACUGCUGCCCACUGUACCGCACAACGAGUGCGUCUCCUGGUGCGCGCCGGUCUCGUCCACAUCUUGCAGCCUCAGUACGACUCCGAAACCACCGAGUGGUACAACUACCCCACCUUCAUCGAGGAAUUGGCCAGCACCGUCGUGCAGCCUAACGACAUUGCGAUCGCACAUGUUGACGAGCCUUUCACCUUCAGCCAUCUGCUGCAGCCCAUCAAGUUGCAGUCAUCAGCUGACGCGUACAGGGACUACUCCAACCAGCAAGUCAUCGCCAGCGGUUUCGGACGCACCUGGAGCAUGGGUGCAACGGCCGAGAAUCUACAGUGGGUGUACCUGAGCGGGGUGUCGAACUCGCUCUGUUUCUCCACUUUCGGAACCAUCAUCACCGACACCACCAUCUGCGCGAGGUUCUAUAACGUCACGUCCAGUCCACCUGCCAGGGUGACAGCGGCGGCCCCCUUGUCCACGUGGAUGACGAAGGAGUCCCAAUCCUUAUCGGAGUAGCGGCGUUCGUGGCUGGCGGCAACUCGGGCUGCCACGCCGGACAUCCUGCAGGUUUCACCCGCCUCGGACCCUUCCACAGCUGGUUCACAGAGAAGACUGGUAUUGACUUCGAUGCCCAAGAAGAAGACACCGAAGCCCCAACCGAACCCCCUACUGAACCCCCAACUGAACCCCCCACUGAACCUCCUAC
RNAcentral lists this unclassified non-coding RNA (1046 nucleotides) under Leguminivora glycinivorella. Its description in RNAcentral is "collagenase-like, transcript variant X2". Lineage: Eukaryota; Metazoa; Arthropoda; Insecta; Lepidoptera; Tortricidae. The record is from RNAcentral.